This 497-nucleotide ribosomal RNA is filed under the name uncultured bacterium. RNAcentral describes it as "partial 16S ribosomal RNA". It matches the Rfam family "Bacterial small subunit ribosomal RNA", at positions 28 to 507 of the family's 1533-position model. The record is from RNAcentral.
GAUGAACGCUGGCGGCGUGCCUAAUACAUGCAAGUCGAGCGAACGGACGAGAAGCUUGCUUCUCUGAUGUUAGCGGCGGACGGGUGAGUAACACGUGGAUAACCUACCUAUAAUACUGGGAUAACUUCGGGAAACCGGAGCUAAUACCGGAUAAUAUUUUGAACCGCAUGGUUCAAAAGUGGAAGACGGUCUUGCUGUCACUUAUAGAUGGAUCCGCGCUGCAUUAGCUAGUUGGUAAGGUAACGGCUUACCAAGGCAACGAUGCAUAGCCGACCUGAGAGGGUGAUCGGCCACACUGGAACUGAGACACGGUCCAGACGACUACGGGAGGCAGCAGUAGGGAAUCUUCCGCAAUGGGCGAAAGCAUGACGGAGCAACGCCGCGUGAGUGAUGAAGGUCUUCGGAUCGUAAAACUCUGUUAUUAGGGAAGAACAUAUGUGUAAGUAACUGUGCACAUCUUGACGGUAACUAAUCAGAAAGCCACGGCUAACUACGUG